GGCGCCAUGGCUUAGUUGGUUAAAGCGCCUGUCUAGUAAACAGGAGAUCCUGGGUUCGAAUCUCAGUGGUGCCU
RNAcentral lists this transfer RNA (74 nucleotides) under Saccoglossus kowalevskii. Its description in RNAcentral is "tRNA-Thr". It matches the Rfam family "tRNA". From Rfam's summary of the family: Transfer RNA (tRNA) molecules are approximately 80 nucleotides in length. Their secondary structure includes four short double-helical elements and three loops (D, anti-codon, and T loops). The record is from RNAcentral. Lineage: Eukaryota; Metazoa; Hemichordata; Enteropneusta; Harrimaniidae.